This 604-nucleotide ribosomal RNA is filed under the name Rhodotorula paludigena. RNAcentral describes it as "eukaryotic LSU rRNA". It matches the Rfam family "Eukaryotic large subunit ribosomal RNA", at positions 47 to 663 of the family's 3401-position model. Lineage: Eukaryota; Fungi; Basidiomycota; Microbotryomycetes; Sporidiobolales; Sporidiobolaceae. The record is from RNAcentral.
UAAGCGGAGGAAAAGAAACUAACAAGGAUUCCCCUAGUAGCGGCGAGCGAAGCGGGAAGAGCUCAAAUUUAUAAUCUGGCACUUUCAGUGUCCGAGUUGUAAUCUCUAGAAGUGUUUUCCGCGUUGGACCGCACACAAGUCUGUUGGAAUACAGCGGCACAGUGGUGACACCCCCGUACACGGUGCGGACGCCCAGCGCUUUGUGAUACACUUUCGAAGAGUCGAGUUGUUUGGGAAUGCAGCUCAAAUUGGGUGGUAAAUUCCAUCUAAAGCUAAAUAUUGGCGAGAGACCGAUAGCGAACAAGUACCGUGAGGGAAAGAUGAAAAGCACUUUGGAAAGAGAGUUAACAGUACGUGAAAUUGUUGGAAGGGAAACGCUUGAAGUCAGACUUGCUUGCCGGAGCUUGCUUCGGUUUGCAGGCCAGCAUCAGUUUUCCGGGGUGGAUAAUGGCGGUUAGAAGGUAGCAGCUUCAGCUGUGUUAUAGCUUUCCGCUGGAUACAUCCUGGGGGACUGAGGAACGCAGCGUGCUUUUAGCGGGGGUUUCGACCUCUUCACGCUUAGGAUGCUGGUGUAAUGGCUUUAAACGACCCGUCUUGAAACACG